GAUGAACGCUAGCGGCAGGCUUAAUACAUGCAAGUCGAGGGGUCAGCAAUGACACCGGCGGACGGGUGCGUAACGCGUAUGCAACCUACCUACAUCAGGGGGAUAGCCCUAGGAAACUGGGAUUAACACCGCAUAAUAUUAUUAAUGGCAUCAUUGAUAAUUGAAAUAUUUAUAGGAAGUAGAUGGGCAUGCGUAAGAUUAGCUAGUUGGUAAGGUAACGGCUUACCAAGGCUACGAUCUUUAGGGGCUCUGAGAGGAGUAUCCCCCACACUGGCACUGAGAUACGGGCCAGACUCCUACGGGAGGCAGCAGUAGGGAAUAUUGGGCAAUGGAGGCAACUCUGACCCAGCCAUGCCGCGUGCAGGAAGACGGCCCUCUGGGUUGUAAACUGCUUUUGAAUGGGAAGAAUGUGUGGCUUGCGAGCUAUAAUGACGGUACCAUUAGAAUAAGCCACGGCUAACUACGUGCCAGCAGCCGGGUAAAACGUA
RNAcentral lists this ribosomal RNA (488 nucleotides) under uncultured bacterium. RNAcentral describes it as "bacterial SSU rRNA". It matches the Rfam family "Bacterial small subunit ribosomal RNA", at positions 28 to 529 of the family's 1533-position model. The record is from RNAcentral.